This 212-nucleotide long non-coding RNA is filed under the name Elaeis guineensis (African oil palm). RNAcentral describes it as "long non-coding RNA (EGUI_LNC037000)". Lineage: Eukaryota; Viridiplantae; Streptophyta; Magnoliopsida; Arecales; Arecaceae. The record is from RNAcentral.
UGGGUAUCCACUCAGGAUCAAUCUGGAAUAGUCCUCUUAAAAUUAAUUUUUCUUCUUCAAAAAAAAUCAGCCUACAAAUCUGAACGAAGUCUGAAUCGCGAUCAACUCUUUGAUCUUUUUCUUGAUCUUCUUCUUCUCUUCUCCUCUUACUUUUCUUCUCUUAAUUAUGUUGCUACCAGGGACUAGAAACUAGCACAAAAGGUGGAUGCCCA